CACGGACCAAACUCCUACGGGAGGCAGCAGUGAGGAAUAUUGGUCAAUGGGCGUAAGCCUGAACCAGCCAAGUCGCGUGAGGGAUGAAGGUUCUAUGGAUCGUAAACCUCUUUUAUAAGGGAAUAAAGUGCGGGACGUGUCCCGUUUUGUAUGUACCUUAUGAAUAAGGAUCGGCUAACUCCGUGCCAGCAGCCGCGGUAAUACGGAGGAUCCGAGCGUUAUCCGGAUUUAUUGGGUUUAAAGGGUGCGUAGGCGGCCUUUUAAGUCAGCGGUGAAAGUCUGUGGCUCAACCAUAGAAUUGCCGUUGAAACUGGGAGGCUUGAGUAUGUUUGAGGCAGGCGGAAUGCGUGGUGUAGCGGUGAAAUGCUUAGAUAUCACGCAGAACCCCGAUUGCGAAGGCAGCCUGCCAAGCCAUGACUGACGCUGAUGCACGAAAGCGUGGGGAUCAAACAGGAUUAGAUACCCUGGUAGUCCACGCAG
Molecule: ribosomal RNA, 480 nt
Filed under: uncultured bacterium
Lineage: Bacteria
Description: bacterial SSU rRNA
Rfam family: Bacterial small subunit ribosomal RNA
Source: RNAcentral